GAUGAACGCUGGCGGCGUGCUUAACACAUGCAAGUCGAACGGGGUAUGGAUUUGGAUUUCACACGAUUGAAGAAUCCAUACUUAGUGGCGGACGGGUGAGUAACGCGUGGAUAACCUGCCCCAUACCGGGGGAUAACAGCCGGAAACGGCUGCUAAAACCGCAUAAGCGCACAGGAAUGCAUGUUCCGGUGUGAAAAACUCCGGUGGUAUGGGAUGGAUCCGCGUCUGAUUAGCUAGUUGGCGGGAUAGAGGCCCACCAAGGCGACGAUCAGUAGCCGACCUGAGAGGGUGGCCGGCCACAUUGGGACUGAGACACGGCCCAG
This 323-nucleotide ribosomal RNA is filed under the name uncultured bacterium. Its description in RNAcentral is "bacterial SSU rRNA". It matches the Rfam family "Bacterial small subunit ribosomal RNA", at positions 28 to 334 of the family's 1533-position model. The record is from RNAcentral.